AGGACGAACGCUGGCGGCGUGCUUAACACAUGCAAGUCGAGCGGAAAGGCCUUUCGGGGUACUCGAGCGGCGAACGGGUGAGUAACACGUGAGUAAUCUGCCCAUCGCUUCAGGAUAGCCAUCGGAAACGGUGAUUAAUACUGGAUAUGACAUUCCUUCGCAUGUUGGGGUGUGGUAAAGUUUUUUCGGCGGUGGAUGUGCUCGCGGCCUAUCAGCUUGUGGUGGGUAAUGGCCU
RNAcentral lists this ribosomal RNA (235 nucleotides) under uncultured soil bacterium. RNAcentral describes it as "partial 16S ribosomal RNA". It matches the Rfam family "Bacterial small subunit ribosomal RNA", at positions 26 to 266 of the family's 1533-position model. The record is from RNAcentral.